AGGGUGUAAACGCUGCAGACUUGGUGUUGGAAAUCCUUCGAGGGUAUUCAGUGCCGGAGAGAAGUUGUUAAGUCUGCUACUUGGGGAGUACGUCCGCAAGGAUGAAACUUAAAAGGAAUUGGCGGGGGAGCACCGCAACGGGAGGAGCGUGCGGUUUAAUUGGAUUCAACACCGGAAAACUCACCAGGGGAGACUGUUACAUGAAACCCAGACUAAUGAUCUUGGUUGAUUUCAGAGAGGAGGUGCAUGGCGUCAGUGACU
This 261-nucleotide ribosomal RNA is filed under the name uncultured archaeon. Its description in RNAcentral is "partial 16S ribosomal RNA". It matches the Rfam family "Archaeal small subunit ribosomal RNA", at positions 748 to 1008 of the family's 1478-position model. The record is from RNAcentral.